Molecule: long non-coding RNA, 422 nt
Organism: Podarcis raffonei (Aeolian wall lizard)
Lineage: Eukaryota; Metazoa; Chordata; Lepidosauria; Squamata; Lacertidae
Exons: 2
Source: RefSeq, a predicted model, not a curated record
GUUUACUAAGACACUGUGCUCCGGAAGUCAGGAUGGGACAGGCUGUUACAGAGUAAAUGAAUACAAUGCACUGCAGGCAGAGAAGAGAUUGUGUAAUGUGUGCAAGAGGGGAGAGUCAGGCAGUGAUCCUUGAUGGGUGAAUAAGGGAUGUUCCAGCUACGCCAGUGCUGUGUCCAAGAAUCAAGGCAGAAGAUGAGAAGAGGUCUGAAGAGGGUGGAGCAGAGACAGCUGUGUCAGCAGAGUUCCAGAUUGCAUGGGAAGGACCCACAGGAGGAGGAGAUUUAGGCAGCUGUGGGAAGGCGGGGAUCUUCAGGCUCCACAAUGGCUUCAUAGGAGCAAGACCUACUGAGAAGAGUUGUUGUGCUCAUUAGGCCUGGCUUUCCUGAGCUGACCUGGUUUCUGCUAAUAAAGAGUUAACAUCA